UUUAAAGUGACAGAUUUAUGUGAUGGAUUUAAGAUCCUUUUAUGCUAUUGCCUUUAAAA
This 59-nucleotide transfer RNA is filed under the name Stylochyrus rarior. RNAcentral's name for it is "tRNA-Leu". The record is from RNAcentral. Lineage: Eukaryota; Metazoa; Arthropoda; Arachnida; Mesostigmata; Ologamasidae.